RNAcentral lists this ribosomal RNA (505 nucleotides) under Dortus primarius. Its description in RNAcentral is "partial large subunit ribosomal RNA". It matches the Rfam family "Eukaryotic large subunit ribosomal RNA", at positions 755 to 1243 of the family's 3401-position model. The record is from RNAcentral. Lineage: Eukaryota; Metazoa; Arthropoda; Insecta; Hemiptera; Miridae.
GCACUCCCGGGGCGUCUCUAUCUCAUUACGAGAGGAGGCGCACCUAGAGCGUACACGCUGAUACCCGAAAGAUGGUGAACUAUGCCUGGCCAGGACGAAGCCAGGGGAAACCCUGGUGGAGGUCCGCAGCGAUUCUGACGUGCAAAUCGAUCGUCGGAGCUGGGUUUAGGGGCGAAAGACCAAUCGAACCAUCUAGUAGCUGGUUCCCUCUGAAGUUUCCCUCAGGAUAGCUUGCGCUCAAAUUGAAACGAGUCUCAUCCGGUAGAGCGAAUGAUUAGAGGCCUUGGGGUCGAAACGACCUCAACCUAUUCUCAAACUCCAAAUAGAUGAGAACCCCGGCUUUCUUGAACUUUGUUUAUGAAGCCGGGGGCUUGGAUCAGAGUGCCAAGUGGGCCAAUUUUGGUAAGCAGAACUGGCGCUGUGGGAUGAACCAAACGCGGAGUUAAGGCGCCACAAUCGACGCUCAUGUGAAACCAUGAAAGGCGUUGGUUGCUUAAGACAGCAG